GAGUUUGAUCCUGGCUCAGGACGAACGCUGGCGGCGUGCUUAACACAUGCAAGUCGAACGGAGCGAAUGAAAGCUUGCUUUUAUGCGCUUAGUGGCAAACGGGUGAGUAACACGUAGGCAACCUGCCGACAGGAUGGGGACAACAUUCCGAAAGGAAUGCUAAUACCGAAUGAAGUGCAGGGGAGGCAUCUCCCCUGCAUGAAAGAUGGCCUCUAUAUAUAAGCUAUCACCUGUCGAUGGGCCUGCGUCUGAUUAGCUGGUUGGUGAGGUAACGGCUCACCAAGGCGACGAUCAGUAGCCGGUCUGAGAGGAUGAACGGCCACAUUGGGACUGAGACACGGCCCAGACUCCUACGGGAGGCAGCAGUGGGGAAUCUUCCGCAAUGGGCGCAAGCCUGACGGAGCAACGCCGCGUGAGUGAAGAAGGUCUUCGGAUCGUAAAGCUCUGUUGAUGGGGACGAACGUACGGGGUGCGAAUAGUGCCUUGUAAUGACGGUACCCAUCGAGGAAGCCACGGCUAACUACGUGCCAGCAGCCGCGGUAAUACGUAGGUGGCGAGCGUUGUCCGGAAUCAUUGGGCGUAAAGGGAGCGCAGGCGGGCAUAUAAGUCUUUCUUAAAAGUUCGGGGCUCAACCCCGUGAUGGGAAAGAAACUAUAUGUCUUGAGUACAGGAGAGGAAAGCGGAAUUCCCAGUGUAGCGGUGAAAUGCGUAGAUAUUGGGAGGAACACCAGUGGCGAAGGCGGCUUUCUGGACUGCAACUGACGCUGAGGCUCGAAAGCCAGGGGAGCGAACGGGAUUAG
Molecule: ribosomal RNA, 800 nt
Filed under: uncultured bacterium
Lineage: Bacteria
Description: bacterial SSU rRNA
Rfam family: Bacterial small subunit ribosomal RNA
Source: RNAcentral